Zingiber officinale is the source of this 2257-nucleotide RNA transcript. It is a transcript of the gene named protein GLUTELIN PRECURSOR ACCUMULATION 3-like, with no coding region annotated. The record is from RefSeq and is a predicted model, not a curated record. The transcript has 19 exons. Lineage: Eukaryota; Viridiplantae; Streptophyta; Magnoliopsida; Zingiberales; Zingiberaceae.
CGGCCACACAGCCGUCAACGUCGGGAAAUCGAAGGUCGUCGUGUUUGGAGGCUUCGCUGACAGGAAAUUCUCGAACGAUAUCGCGGUGUAUGACAUAGAUGGCUAAUGAGAAUUUUUCUGGAAGAAUACCUACGGAGACUUUGACAAUCAAAUUUACCGGAAAGAAUUAUGCAACAUGGGAAUUUCAGUUCUGGAUGUUUCUGAAAGGGAAGGAGCUUUGGGGUCACAUUGAUGGGUCUUUAAUGGCUCCUGAAAACGCUAAGGACCUUGGUCAAUGGGAGACAAAGGAUGCCCGAAUUAUCUCUUGGCUUCUCGGAUCCAUCGAAGCUCAUAUGGUGAACAAUUUACGUCCUUUUAAUACGGCUAAGGAGAUGUGGGAUUACCUGAAACGAAUAUAUCAUCAAGAUAAUACUGCAAGGCGAUUCCAACUAGAGCUUGAGAUUGGUAAUCUCAGUCAAGAAAAUAAGUUAUGGUAUACUCCGGAGUGCACUGGUGUCGGUUCAGAUGGACAAGUAGGGCCUAGUGCUAGAGCAUUUCAUGUUGCUAUUGCUAUCGACUGUAACAUGUUUAUCUUUGGGGGGCGUUCUGGUAGCAAAAGAGUAGGUGACUUUUGGAUGCUAGAUACAGUGUAUCUUCCAGAUAUAUGGCAAUGGUCGGAACUAACCAGCUUUGGUGAUUUGCCAUCUCCAAGAGAGUUUGCUGCUGUUUCAGCAAUAGGAAACCGGAAAAUUGUUAUGUAUGGCGGAUGGGAUGGUAAAAAAUGGCUUUCAGAUGUGUACAUCAUGGAUACAAUGUCACUUGAGUGGAUGGAAUUAUCUAUUACUGGCUCAGCGCCACCACCAAGGUGUGGACACUCUGCAACAAUGGUUGAGAAGCGAUUGCUAAUUUUUGGUGGAAGAGGAGGCAGUGGGCCUAUUAUGGGUGAUUUAUGGGCCUUAAAGGGUAUUAUUGAUGAAGAGAAUGAGACACCAGGCUGGACCCAGUUGAAGCUUCCUGGACAAACUCCCUCUCCAAGAUGUGGUCAUACAAUAACAUCUGGAGGGCAUUAUCUGUUGCUGUUUGGUGGACAUGGUACUGGAGGCUGGUUGAGUCGAUAUGAUGUCUAUCACAAUGACUGCAUCAUUCUUGACAGAGUGUCUGUUCAAUGGAAACGGUUAGCUACUAGCAAUGAUCCUCCUGCACCUCGGGCAUAUCAUUCCAUGACUUCUAUUGGUUCUCGAUAUCUUUUAUUUGGUGGGUUUGAUGGGAAAACCACGUUUGGCGACAUAUGGUGGCUUGUUCCAGAAGAUGAUCCUAUAGCAAAAAGGUUGCAGUCUGCUCCAAACCCUCCACCUGAAAUCAAGCCCGUUGAAAUGAUGGAUGGGUUAGCAGAGUCCUUGCCAAAGGAAGUCCAGAAUGAGCCAUCACCCGUAGUUGAAUUGCAAAAGAAGUUAGGGAUUAUGCUUUCUUCUUCUACUUCUCAGACAAAUAUUGUGGAAGAAGUGAACGACGAAGAACUAAUUGAAUUAUCAUCAAAGUUAGCUGGAGAAGCAUUGAGUACUCCAGGUCAUUACAUGUCCAUUCAGAUACUACGCGAAUAUUGGAAAAAUGCAAGUGCAAGUUCGAUCCAGUUGCAAGAGCUUGGACCACUUUUGCGAGAUUAUCAGCGUCUCAUAGUUAAUCAGCUGGAAUAUCUUAUAUCUGAUAUACCGUCAAUCACAACGAACCUUACUAGACAACACCGUUUUUUCCAUUUGAAAAGUGCUUCCCAGUUUGUUUUCUCAAGCAUCCCAGUUGAACGGAUGGUAGCUUCGCUUGGGAUCAAUAAUAUUGCAGUUGCGUAUGGAUGACAUACCUAAGCUUCUGGACGAGUACAGACAAUUGGUCUCUUAAUUUUGGAAGGUGGCUUGUAUUUGUCAUAAAAUCAAGGCUUCUGUGGGCACAGUGUCCUUCAUGGAGUUGUUCUUCAAAGUAGAAAAACGGUGUCUCUGGAGCUACUCAAUCAGAAUUUGCAAGCUAGCAGUCAGCAAUAGUUCCCUGGGCGAUCCGUGAUAAAAUUUACUCUCAAUAACUCAAUGCCUUUAAGCAGCAGUUAAUGAGAUGGGAGGCAUUCUUCAUGUUCAACUUUCACACUUUUAAUUACUCCCAUUUGUGGACUUGGUCAUGGUGAUUUCUGUUUUAAAUUGAAUUCGAUAAAUAUUAGGACAAAAAGUGUCAUGUAACUGAUUAAAACAUUUUGUUCAUUUCAACGCGCUACUUCUUGUGGUGGACUGCACUA